This 2950-nucleotide long non-coding RNA is filed under the name Homo sapiens (human). Its description in RNAcentral is "HSALNT0336060". The record is from RNAcentral. Lineage: Eukaryota; Metazoa; Chordata; Mammalia; Primates; Hominidae.
UCCCUCUGUAUGCAGAAUAUUGUGCAACAUGGUUAUGGGUACUACAGUGGAUGUGAGUGUGUAGACCUUGUACAAUAGAGCUUAUAGGCUAAUGAGAAGACAGGAAGAAACAACAGGAACACAUAUAGCUGGAAUGCAGAUGGGAUCUGUGCUACUUACGCUAGCCAUGGGAUGAUUAGAACAAGAUAAGAGACAUGAGGAAGACUUCUUCAAGGAGGUGCUCAAGCCAUGUUUUGGAAAAGAGAACUCAAGGUCUGGCAGGGAGAAAGGAGCAAGGGCAAGUAGAGCUGCAGCUGUCUGGCGCCACUGUAAUGCUGUCUCCUCCUCUGAGUGAGUUCAUCCUGGAAACAUUUUCUCCCAUAAGACAUGCACAGGUCUUACGUUUACAUGUUUCACUGAAAGAAAUUUGAUUCCACUGCUGGGAUGACAAGGAAGACUGAAGAAACCUAAUCCUAGGUGCUGCCACUGGGACAAACAAGAAGCACCAGACACAGUGCUGUUUUAGGGUGGGGCAGAAUUAUGCUGAGGGAAAAGUUAUUAUCACUCUUUAAGGCCAAGGAAACCACAAUUUUUAAAGAAGCUUCUAGAAAUUCUACCCAGUAGAAAAUAAAGAUAAACUUCUGUAAGGAAUUUCAUUCUUUUCAGAAUUCGCAAUCUGAAAUGUAGAAGCCCAUUCCUUCAUGGUUCUCAUAGAUAUUUAGUGUGACUGAGGGGUCAGUGGACUCAUAGCACUCAGGCCAGGCUUCUCCUGAGUCCCUUUCUUUGGCACAGAGGGAGUGAUUCACAGAUCCUCUACCCCCAAAGGCAUUGUUUCCUCAUCUCAACAAGAAUCCAGCACCCGUCAUUUUAUCAGCACACGUCACUAGCUUCUCAAGUGAGACUACUCUGAAGUGAUCUGUGUUUGAAGAAUGCCUUUCCCUUUCCCUUACGUAACUAAGAGGAUGAAAAAGGACACUCACUCCCUAUAUGAAAGCUGUGUAUUGUAAGCAGUCAUCUUGCCUGGCUGAGAACUCUAGGAUCUUUUUCUCUGCUCUCCUUUAGGCUGACACUCAUAGCCAGACCUUCUGUUUAUUAGCCCCCUGAAUCUAUUUGAAAAUAUUUUUGCUUUCAUUAUAAUAUAAGUCACAUUCUUCUUGCAUCUGCCGCUGCAUUUUCCAAAAGGGUUAUGUCAAGGGAAAUUCAACACUCACUUUUCUCAUUAUUUGCUUACCAGCUUGCUCACUCAUCAAAAUACCAGAGUUAUUUGAUACUUCAGAAGAUUAUUUCCCCCUUUAGAUGAUGUGUCAAGGGAAGGGGAGCUGGCCCCAGUAUCAGGUGACAGAAUUUUCUUCGCAUUUCUACUGUUGACUCAAUAAAUGCCCUUGGGCAAGUCAUGGAGCCUCUUCAUACUUUGGUCUCUAGGGAUAAAAUCUGCCAACCGCAGCAUGUGUAUUUGAACCUCAGUGUCCUCUGGAAUAAAAAUAGGAGGGGACCAGGUGUCCAUGUGACCCCAAGCUGAUGGGAAGAGGAUGACCAUAGGACUUCAAAAUGUCCUUGAGCUGUAAAUUCUGUAAUAGGGUCAGGCCCACCAGUGGCCUUCAGGCAUUUGUCCAGUGGUGUAUGGAUAAGUUCUAGCACUUGAGUUUUUUCAGCACAAAGGAGGCACUAUGUCAACCUCCCACCCAUGGGUAUUCUGUUUGCUCUGUGUCCCCGCUUCUCUGCAUUUCCCUGCCAUAUUACUCACCACUGGUCGUAAUUACUUGCUUGAUCACUUGUCUCCUGGUCUGUAAGCUGUUUGAGGGAGGGGAGCACAUCUGCCCUAUGCAACACUGUACCCUCAGUGUGGUACACAGGAGCACAUGCCUGACAUAUGGAAGUUAUGUGAGAAACAUUUGUGAAGUGGACAAAUUAAUAAUGCUGCCUGGACUCUAUAGAAAUCCCUUUUCUGCAUCAUUAAGGUUCCCAAGCCUGGCCAAGAAGUAGUGGGAUCUGAUUAGCCUCAUCUCCUCAUAACCCUACUUCCUAUAAUAUUAUAAUGAAAGCAGAUCUCAGCCCAAAUGCUGGCACACAUACAUAUUUAUCAGUAAGAAGAUCCAAAAUCGUUCAUGCAGCUGGUUCUGUAAGCUUGGCAAAUUUCCAGCCCUCUGAACUUUUCAGUGCUUUGUCCACACUCUACAUGAAAGGGCCUCUUAAGAGUGACAGGGCAGUAUUCUAAAGACCAGAUUUUAAUUGCACCAGGUAACUGAAUUGUCUGAAUUCACAGCUGAACACAGGACAAGGUCAGAAUCAUAUUUCUUAUGCCAUUUAGAAAGGUGACAAGUGAAGGGCUGGCCAAAAUCUUACACCCAGCUUACGUAAGAGUAGAGACUGUCCCUAAUGCUUUCCCCAGUCCACUUGUCUCGAACACCAUUAGGUUCAAUAGUAAAAGCCCAUUUCUCACUUGCUUCAUGUUAAUUGACUGAUCACUAAUUUUACCAAUAAGAAGCCAUUUUUAUUAUUUAUCAUUAUGAUUUUUAUCAUUUUGUUAAUUAGCCAAGCUUCUGCUGUUGACUCCAGAUAAAGAGAGUUAAAGCACUUGGGGUGACCACCUAAGUAGAUUUUUUCAUGGUGAACAAAUGGAAGCAACAGAAACAGCUCAGACUUUUGAAAAGUGAUGAAAAAGGCCCAUGAUGCCCUGCUCCUUGAAAAUGAAGAAGAGGAUGACUUAGCCCUGCAGGGCUCUUUUCUUUGCAUGUUCUUACCAACCCUCAGGGGAGAUUCAGUCUACUAGCUGGCUUCCCCACGUGGACCUCACUCUGUGGCAAGUAACUGGGAGUAAUUUACCUUCUGGGUUCUCUUACAACCCCCUUAGCUAUGUAGGUGAUUUCAGGCCCAAGGGGGAAGAUAUCAGAUAAGCCAGAACAUUUUGAUUCUACUGACCGAGUUUCCUCACCUCCCUCCCUUUGUUUCUGAUAAAUACAUACGUUAAGGU